AACGAACGCUGGCGGCAUGCCUAACACAUGCAAGUCGAACGAGACCUUCGGGUCUAGUGGCGCACGGGUGCGUAACGCGUGGGAACCUGCCCUUAGGUUCGGAAUAACUCCCCGAAAGGGGUGCUAAUACCGGAUAAUGUCUUCGGACCAAAGAUUUAUCGCCUUUGGAUGGGCCCGCGUUGGAUUAGCUAGUUGGUAGGGUAAAAGCCUACCAAGGCGACGAUCCAUAGCUGGUCUGAGAGGAUGAUCAGCCACACUGGGACUGAGACACGGCCCAGACUCCUACGGGAGGGAGCAGUGGGGAAUAUUGGACACUGGGCGAAAGCCUGAUCAAGCAAUGCCGCGUGAGUGAUGAAGGCCUUAGGGUUGUAAAGCUCUUUUACCCGGGAUGAUAAUGACAGUACCGGGAGAAGAAGCUCCGGCUAACUCCGUG
RNAcentral lists this ribosomal RNA (433 nucleotides) under uncultured bacterium. RNAcentral describes it as "partial 16S ribosomal RNA". It matches the Rfam family "Bacterial small subunit ribosomal RNA", at positions 29 to 507 of the family's 1533-position model. The record is from RNAcentral.